CAAUAGCGUAUAUUAAAGUUGUUGCAGUUAAAAAGCUCGUAGUUGGAUUUCUGGUGGGAGCGAUCGGUCUGGCGCUUAGCGCGAGUACUUGCAUCGUCUCCGGCCAUCCUUGGGGAGAGUCUGUCUGGCAUUAGGUUGUCGGGCAGAGGAUCCUCAUCGUUUACUGUGAAAAAAUUAGAGUGUUCAAAGCAGGCUUAUGCCGUUGAAUAUAUUAGCAUGGAAUAAUAAGAUAGGACUUUGGUACUAUUUUGUUGGUAUGCGCACCAAAGUAAUGAUUAAUAGGGACAGUUGGGGGUAUUCGUAUUCCGUUGUCAGAGGUGAAAUUCUUGGAUUUACGGAAGACGAACUACUGCGAAAGCAUUUACCAAGGAUGUUUUCAUUAA
RNAcentral lists this ribosomal RNA (383 nucleotides) under uncultured eukaryote. RNAcentral's name for it is "partial 18S ribosomal RNA". It matches the Rfam family "Eukaryotic small subunit ribosomal RNA", at positions 592 to 976 of the family's 1831-position model. The record is from RNAcentral.